This 68-nucleotide transfer RNA is filed under the name Marmota monax (woodchuck). Its description in RNAcentral is "tRNA.Ala". The record is from RNAcentral. Lineage: Eukaryota; Metazoa; Chordata; Mammalia; Rodentia; Sciuridae.
GGAUUGUGGCUCAGUGGUAGAGUGUUUACCUAGCACAUACGAGGCCCUGGGUUUAAUCCUCAGCACCA